Molecule: non-coding RNA, 112 nt
Organism: Corchorus olitorius
Lineage: Eukaryota; Viridiplantae; Streptophyta; Magnoliopsida; Malvales; Malvaceae
Source: Rfam
AAGGGCGAUCAUAGGGCGGGUGUUCACCCCUUCCCAUCCCGAACAGGGCCGUUAAGCCCCGCUCCGCCGAUGAUACUGGGUUCACCCCCGGGAAAGUAGGUAAUCGCCUCCC